Molecule: ribosomal RNA, 490 nt
Filed under: uncultured bacterium
Lineage: Bacteria
Description: partial 16S ribosomal RNA
Rfam family: Bacterial small subunit ribosomal RNA
Source: RNAcentral
AUUGAACGCUGGCGGCAGGCCUAACACAUGCAAGUCGAACGGUAACAGGAAGCAGCUUGCUGCUUUGCUGACGAGUGGCGGACGGGUGAGUAAUGUCUGGGAAACUGCCCGAUGGAGAGGGAUAACUACUGGAAACGGUAGCUAAUACCGCAUAACGUCGCAAGACCAAAGAGGGGGACCUUAGGGCCUCUUGCCAUCGGAUGUGCCCAGAUGGGAUUAGCUAGUAGGUGGGGUAACGGCUCACCUAGGCGACGAUCCCUAGCUGGUCUGAGAGGAUGACCAGCCACACUGGAACUGAGACACGGUCCAGACUCCUACGGGAGGCAGCAGUGGGGAAUAUUGCACAAUGGGCGCAAGCCUGAUGCAGCCAUGCCGCGUGUAUGAAGAAGGCCUUCGGGUUGUAAAGUACUUUCAGCGGGGAGGAAGGGAGUAAAGUUAAUACCUUUGCUCAUUGACGUUACCCGCAGAAGAAGCACCGGCUAACUCCGUG